UACAGAGGGUGCGAGCGUUAAUCGGAAUUACUGGGCGUAAAGCGUGCGCAGACGGUCAUGUAAGUCGGGUGUGAAAUUCCUGGGCUCAACCUGGGGACUGCGCUUGAUACGGCUAGGCUAGAGGAUGGAAGAGGGUCGCGGAAUUCCCAGUGUAGAGGUGAAAUUCGUAGAUAUUGGGAAGAACACCGGUGGCGAAGGCGGCGACCUGGUCCGAGACUGACGCUGAGGCGCGAAAGCGUGGGGAGCAAACAGG
This 253-nucleotide ribosomal RNA is filed under the name uncultured bacterium. RNAcentral describes it as "partial 16S ribosomal RNA". It matches the Rfam family "Bacterial small subunit ribosomal RNA", at positions 524 to 776 of the family's 1533-position model. The record is from RNAcentral.